Molecule: ribosomal RNA, 468 nt
Filed under: uncultured bacterium
Lineage: Bacteria
Description: partial 16S ribosomal RNA
Rfam family: Bacterial small subunit ribosomal RNA
Source: RNAcentral
GACGAACGCUGGCGGCGUGCCUAACACAUGCAAGUCGAACGGAAAGGCCCUGCUUUUGUGGGGUGCUCGAGUGGCGAACGGGUGAGUAACACGUGAGUAACCUGCCCUUGACUUUGGGAUAACUUCAGGAAACUGGGGCUAAUACCGGAUAGGAGCUCCUGCUGCGCGGUGGGGGUUGGAAAGUUUCGGCGUUUGGGGAUGGACUCGCGGCUUAUCAGCUUGUUUGUGGAGUAGUGGCUUACCAAGGUUUUGACGGGUAGCCGGCCUGAGAGGGGGACCGGCGACAUUGGGACUGAGAUACGGCCCAGACUCCUACGGGAGGCAGCAGUGGGGAAUAUUGCACAAUGGGCGGAAGCCUGAUGCGGCGGCGCCGCGUGCGGGAUGACGGCCUUCGGGUUGUGAACCGCUUUCGCCUGUGACGAAGCGUGAGUGACGGUAAUGGGUAAAGAAGCACCGGCUAACUACGUG